AACCAGUAUGUAUCUAAAUCUGACAACCCCAGCUUUUACCUUUACGUCUUAUAGAAUAAAAGGUUUGCUGCUUUCUAUUUUGAUUAACUAUACAUUUUUUCUUAAAUUGAAAGACAAGGCCAGGAAAUUGUUAGAUGUAAGGUCCUAGAACACCAAGGAAACAAACACUUGUUUUUCAAAGCUGCAUCAUAUUAAAUGGUUAUUUCUUGAAAGCAUUGAUGGAUGCACACAUGAAUUAUGCAGUUCUGCAUGAGUGUACCCGGUGCUUGCAUUAAUACCAUUAAAACAAAGCUACUGUAGCAUUACAGGAUGGCAGGGUCUGUGCAGGCUCCAGAUUGAACAUAAUCGCUGCAACAUGCAGCUGCUUGAAACCGAUUCCCUGGUUCUUUGGAAAAUGAGAUUAAAACUAUCCAUGUGAAUAGAACCAUGAAUGGUUACUGUGUUGGAAAAUGUAAUUUAAAACAAAGUAUUGCCUUAAUUUCUAGAAAGUGCAUACCCUGUAACAGUACUGACUUCAAGUAGAAUAGAUCUUGCUGUAAAUUUACUGUGCUUUAUGCUGCUAAUAUCUGGAAGUUUCCAACCUCAAUGGACUUUCUUAAAAGGUGUUUUCAAAGAAAUUCAGCUGUAAUUUUCACAUCAUUGCCCGCUCUGUCAAAGCUACUAUUCAUAACAUGGAUAAUGUAUUUAAAUUCUUAAUACCUGUUGCUUAAAGGGUCUCUAAAAGGAACAGUCCCAACAUUUCUCUCUGAGUGAAAAUGUUCUCAUUUUUCUGUUUAACCUAAGAAGGGCUUUGUCACAUUGUGCCAUUCAUCACACUCUUUUAAUUCCUCAAUAAGCAUUCAGUUCCAGUAGCAUGAUAUAAUUGCGGCUGGUGCCCUAAUUUUCACUUUAAACACACCCUGGUUUCUUGGUAAUAAUUAAGCAAAGAAAAUCGAUGCCAAGAGGAAAGGGACAUUGCACUGUGGUCAGGCUGGAAUUGGCAGUCUCAGUUAAAUUGUUCAUAUGGCACAUUCAAACAGAACAAAAUGUCAGCCGUAUUAAAUCUGAAGCACUGCCACUGAGUUGAAUGUUUUUCAAGAGUAAAAUUGCCAUCUUAAUGCGGUGACUUUGUUCCACUUUCAUGCAGCGGCGAGGCAGGAGUGAGUGACUUGUCGACAGGAGGCUGACUGCAGUCGUUCCAAGUAACUGGCAGAGGCUGGAACAACAUGAGCACUAGCUGUUUUUACCUGUCCACUUAUUUGCCAUCAGUACAGCUCCCUGUGUGCAGGAUGACAAGAUGAGGACGUUUGCCACCAUCCAGGAAAUUGCCCCCUGCUCUUGAAAAGACCCCUGGAAAUAAUUAGAUUUGAUGCUGUAAUAGCGAGGCUGUCAAAAAAGCUGUGUUGCAGUGAUGUUAUUUAUUUGUUCUGUGCCAACACCCUGUAAUGAUGACCUGUCACUCUUCUCUGUUUUGUGCUCUAUAUUUAUAUACGAUCAGGCUUCUUUUUCACUGUAUUUCUUUGAAUUUAUCACCCAUUUUUUGUGCCAUACCUGCAACUAAUGAAAAAAUAAAGGAAAGGAAUAUUUUA
This is a long non-coding RNA of Notolabrus celidotus (New Zealand spotty), 1568 nucleotides long. RefSeq lists it as uncharacterized. The record is from RefSeq and is a predicted model, not a curated record. Lineage: Eukaryota; Metazoa; Chordata; Actinopteri; Labriformes; Labridae. The transcript has 2 exons.